AGGGUUCGAUUCUGGACUCAGAACGAACGCUGGCGGCAUGGAUUAGGCAUGCAAGUCGAACGGGAGCAGCAAUGCUCCAGUGGCGCAAGGGUGAGGAACACGUGAACAACCUGCCUUCGAGUUGGGGAUAGCUUCUGGAAACGGGAGAUAAUACCGAAUAACAUCAUUAGGUCGCAUGACCGGAUGAUCAAAGCAGCAAUGCGCUUGAAGAGGGGUUCGCGUCCCAUUAGCUAGUUGGUGAGGUAACGGCCCACCAAGGCGAUGAUGGGUAGCUGGUCUGAGAGGACGAUCAGCCACAUUGGGACUGAGAUACUGCCCAGACUCCUACGGGAGGCUGCAGUCGAGAAUUUUGGGCAAUGGACGAAAGUCUGACCCCAAGCAAUGCCGCGUGCGGGAUGAAGGUCUUCGGAUUGUAAACCGCUGUCAAGAGGGACGAAAUAUGACGGUACCUCUGGAGGAAGCCACGGCUAACUACGUGCCAGCCGCGGC
This 489-nucleotide ribosomal RNA is filed under the name uncultured bacterium. Its description in RNAcentral is "bacterial SSU rRNA". It matches the Rfam family "Bacterial small subunit ribosomal RNA", at positions 8 to 518 of the family's 1533-position model. The record is from RNAcentral.